GGGGUUGUGGCUCAGUGGUAGAGUGCUCGCCUCGUACAUUUGAGACCCUGGGUUCGAUCCCCAGCACCACCA
This 72-nucleotide transfer RNA is filed under the name Ictidomys tridecemlineatus (thirteen-lined ground squirrel). RNAcentral's name for it is "Spermophilus tridecemlineatus (thirteen-lined ground squirrel) tRNA". It matches the Rfam family "tRNA". Rfam says of the family: Transfer RNA (tRNA) molecules are approximately 80 nucleotides in length. Lineage: Eukaryota; Metazoa; Chordata; Mammalia; Rodentia; Sciuridae. The record is from Rfam by way of RNAcentral.